AUUGAACGCUGGCGGCAUGCCUUACACAUGCAAGUCGAACGGUAACAGGUCUUCGGUUGCUGACGAGUGGCGAACGGGUGAGUAAUACAUCGGAACGUGCCCGAUCGUGGGGGAUAACGAAGCGAAAGCUUUGCUAAUACCGCAUACGAUCUACGGAUGAAAGCAGGGGACCGCAAGGCCUUGCGCGAACGGAGCGGCCGAUGGCAGAUUCGGUAGUUGGUGGGAUAAAAGCUUACCAAGCCGACGAUCUGUAGCUGGUCUGAGAGGACGACCAGCCACACUGGGACUGAGACACGGCCCAGACUCCUACGGGAGGCAGCAGUGGGGAAUUUUGGACAAUGGGCGAAAGCCUGAUCCAGUCAUGCCGCGUGCAGGAUGAAGGCCUUCGGGUUGUAAACUGCUUUUGUACGGAACGAAAAGACUCUGGUUAAUACCUGGGGUCCAUGACGGUACCGUAAGAAUAAGCACCGGCUAACUACGUG
Molecule: ribosomal RNA, 482 nt
Filed under: uncultured bacterium
Lineage: Bacteria
Description: partial 16S ribosomal RNA
Rfam family: Bacterial small subunit ribosomal RNA
Source: RNAcentral